AGUGAACGCUGGCGGUAGGCCUAACACAUGCAAGUCGAACGGCAGCACAGUAAGAGCUUGCUCUUACUGGUGGCGAGUGGCGGACGGGUGAGGAAUACAUCGGAAUCUACUUUUUCUUGGGGGAUAACGGAGGGAAACUUACGCUAAUACCGCAUACUACCUACGGGUGAAAGCAGGGGAUCUUCGGACCUUUCGCGAUUGAAUGAGCCGAUGUCGGAUUAGCUAGUUGGCGGGGUAAAGGCCCACCAAGGCGACGAUCCGUAGCUGGUCUGAGAGGAUGAUCAGCCACACUGGAACUGAGACACGGUCCAGACUCCUACGGGAGGCAGCAGUGGGGAAUAUUGGACAAUGGGCGCAAGCCUGAUCCAGCCAUACCGCGUGGGUGAAGAAGGCCUUCGGGUUGUAAAGCCCUUUUGUUGGGAAAGAAAAGAAGCAGGUUAAUACCCCGCUGUUCUGACGGUACCCAAAGAAUAAGCACCGGCUAACUUCGUG
This 492-nucleotide ribosomal RNA is filed under the name uncultured bacterium. RNAcentral describes it as "partial 16S ribosomal RNA". It matches the Rfam family "Bacterial small subunit ribosomal RNA", at positions 29 to 507 of the family's 1533-position model. The record is from RNAcentral.